GUGGGUGUAGGAAGAUAACCAGUGAGGUGAUCUGGCACUGAUGAGGUGUAGCACUGCCCAGGCCACACUGCAGCAUCGGGACAGAGAAUUCAGGAUUUGCUGGCAACCUGUUUCUGAGUGUUCCGAUCUCUGAAGUGUGUUUUGAGUCGGGAGGAUCACAGCUGAAAUCUCAUUAGCAAAUAAUAGGCCUAGUGUGCAGAAAUCUACCUCACUGCCACUUCUGGUCAGCAGGGUUGAAAAUGCAUUCUUGUUUUGCAAGUGUGAACACAGUGUCGCUGCCCUGGUUUACAAGUGACAGUGGAAAGAGCUGUGAUACACAACGGCAAGGGGGAUUUUAGCAUGUUUACAGGAGGAACUUACACAGUUCUUCUGCUGGUGUUGCUAGAGAACUUCAGUUUUUGAGGCAUACAGAAAGGGCUGUUUACAACUGGGAUUUGAAAGGUACGUAUACCUGUUAAUAAGGCAUCAGGUUUCAUUUAGCUGCAGAAAGGUUGAUCAGUGGAAAAAGUACUUUUCUUAGGUGUCGUUUUCCCCCACGAAUUUGGGUGUCUUAAUACCCUCUGUCCCUGCCAUACUGCUAAGUGGUUCUAAAUCAGUAAUGGUCCUCAAAUCUGAGAGCUUGCAGGGUGAGGACAUCGCUACUAGCAACAGAUGAAAAAUGGAGUAAUGCAGUGGUAUGCCAUCCUGCCCCAAAUUAAAUAUUUCCACCUUCAAAAGCAGAGCCCUACUCUCCAAAUUUUAAAAAAACCUUGCAAAGUGCUGUUGUGCAGCAGGCAGGGGCAGAUUUGCGGGAAGGGAAGCUGUACAGCCAUGGGAUUGCAUCCUGUUAGAUAUGGGAUUUUCUGGCCUUGCAAGCCUCCUGGUCCUCUGUCCUUGGGUAAGGUACAGCGCUAGAAGACGGAUAUCAGGAGUGCCAUUAGCUCCAGGUAGGCUUUCCUUGAGCUGACUGAGCAGAAGGGGACUCUGCAGACACUGAGAUUACCAGAACAAUUCUGAUUGCAAGGAAGGGGAAGACUUUGAUUUAUGCAUUAGUAGGAUCUGUCCAAUCCUUGGUCUGCCUUGUUUUCUUACUUUCUGUCUGCGUUGCUUAUUUUUGUCUCCCUGGGUGCUUCUCCCAAGACUUCUCAGCUUGUUGGUGUUUAAUCUUCUCGAUUUGUCUCCGGCCCCACUCUCUCUAAUCUCUGCAGGUCACUGUGCAGUUUGCACGUUUGGUUCUCUUUGGCUGUUUGCUGCCAUCAGCACAUCUGAUCGUGGCUGAGUUUACAUCAAAGGAACACCUGACAAAGGAGCAGGCCUGAUAAUAGGCUCCAGUUUCUUCUCAGCAGCCCAAACAGGUGGAGGCGGGUGAGGGAACGCUGGCAGGACCACAAGGGAGUUCAUGCUCCACUUUCAACACGCCUUGCUUUUCCCUCCUGCCUGACGGAGCACUGCAGAACCUGCUGCUGCUCCUCUAAGUUCCCUAAAAAUAGAGCUGCCCCUGGAAAAGAGGAAAGCAAGACAGAGGUAGGCCUUGCUCUUCUCCUGCAAAACAAACCCACAGGUGAGAAACUAAUUAACUAGGAAGGGGGGAGGAAAAGGCUCUCCUGCAGUUGCUGUUGUAGCUGCAGAAGUGCAGCUCGUGAGUUAUAGGUGUCUUUUCCCUGCAGCAAGAGCUGGCUCAAAUGCCAGGGUCAGGAGAGAUGCUACAGUCGCAGUGUGAUUGUUUGCUGCCUCUUUGGAGCUGGCCAGAGAAGAGGCCGAUGAACCCAAGGCUGGAUUCUCUAGCAAAACACUUCACCUGAAGUGUUGAAGGAUAAGGAUUUGCAUUUGCUUUUGUUCAUAUAAUUUAUGCUGCCCAGACCAUUUUCCCUGUAGAGAGUUUGCUGUUAGGAGCCCAUUUUAUAUAACUACAAUACACAGUUACAUGUGAUUAGACACACAGACACGAUGAUUGAUACAGAGAAACAUUUCCUGCAGUUGGGAUUAUCCUGAGAGGUGCUGGAUGCUAUUUGAGUUGGUGCCAGGGUCCAGGAUAGAUGUGUCUCAUGAGUGCAGUGCCCGGAGUUUUCCAGCAUGUGGGAGCUGCUCAUCUUUGGUGCUGCAGUGGUGGUUUGGGUGCCCUUUGUCCUCUGCUGGAAGGAAAACCAGUGGCACCACAUCCCAUCUCCUGUAGGUUUCACCUGGCAGUGUUGAGCCCCUGGUAUUCUCAGGGCCUAAGUUCUCCAAGAAAUAUGUGAAUCUCUGGGCUCUGACCCAUCCUGGCCAUAUUUGCAUGUGCUCACCCUGGACUUGGAGACAUCUGACAAGGGGAAAGCUCAGCUUCCAGAAGGCUGUGGAGGGGAGAUUUGGAACAAGAGGAUGUCUUUGUUCCUCUGGUGCAGCACAGGAGAUGUGAAACCUGGGGUAAGUGCAAGGGGCAGGAAUAUGUGUACCAGGAGCUCCCUGCAGCUUGUCUUUUCCAGGGACGUGGCCAAGGACUGCAGAGGUCCUGGGUGCAGGAACUCCCAACUCCCCAUGCUCUUCUGCACAGAACCAAGCUUUCUUAUUUAAUUUAGCUCAGGCUGGGGAGGCACUCUGUAAAACCUGCUGUAACCUGGAGUGGGGAAAGGAUGAGAUCCUGUUGUCCUUGGCUGAAGGACAGAAGUGGUGACUGGAGCUAUCUGGUGCUGGAGCUCCCUGAGCUUCCUCUCUGAGUGUACUGAGCUAAAAGCAACAUCCCCCUUGGAGGGAUUUUCAGCUCCUUUCAUUCCAGGCAGGCUUGGACAUGACUGGUUUCUCCCUGGUGUGAGUGCUGUUUCCCAGGAGAGCUGAGGAUGGACAAUCAGGACAGCCCUUCCCACCUCACCUGCUAGAUAUACCGUGGCCUGGGGGACCAGAGGUGCUGUGCUGCCCAGCUCUGACCUCUAGCCCUGCUGUGCUGAGAGCCAGCUCUUCGGGGAUUAAAGGUGCUAUUUAAACAAAAUAAUAAUAAUAACACUGCAGGCAGGUUUGAUUUAUUAUGUAGGAACUGUAGUAUUCAAAUGAGCUCAUGAUAAAUGGAAGUAUUGGCUUAUUAAAUGUUGCUUUGGACUUCGCCCUUGGGAAGGCAAAGUAGUGGUGUAGUGGUGAUUUGAGUAGUGAUUUUCAUAGUGUAGUGGUGAUUUGAGAUGGUCCAAGUUCUUCUUUGGGUGGUGGUGGUUUGUUUUUCUACCUUCCAAGGAUUUCUCUGGGUUUAAAUCCACUUUCAGCUGUGGUCUGUUAAAACAAUUUCCAGCAAACUGUCACUGCCUGUCCUUGUCUGUUUAUGACAUGAAAACCACAUCUAUUUUGUUUUCUACUGUUUUAAACCCAGGCUUGGGUGUGAUAUUUGGAAUAUCUGCUCUUUGCUUUCUGCUGUUUUCACUGAGGAGUGUGGUGGGAUGUCUGGAAGCUGUGAAUUAUGAAGGCGAGCUGUGCUACAGCCCAGCUUAAUUUAAAAGUACAGCACUUAGAAAAACACAGUGCUUUGCUCCCACUUCUUCCCUGGCACGUGAAGCCAUUGUAUUCUGAAUGAAAGCAUGGAUAAAUCUGGAUAAAUCCCAUCUCUUUUUCUCGUCCCACGUGUAGGGCACUGUUCCUGUCCCAGCUGGCCAGGCUCUGUUCCCCAAAGCAUCAGAACCAUCCUGCAGCCAGCAAACUCAAAUAUUAAACUUCCAGCAAAAGGCAAAACAGGAGAGGGGUGAGGCCAUCCCACUUGUACUCUCUGGAAGUGCAUAUGGAUGGAUGCCUUUCCUCCCUCUCUAUCCCAAGAGUUUAACUCCUGGCUGCCCAGGAUCUUACGUUUGCAGCCAUAGAGUGGAUGCACCUGCAGAGCACAAGUAAGCAGAGGCUUCAAAUGAGACAAAUCAGGAAGUGAAAUGAGAAUCUCACCGUGGCAUGGCAUUAAAUCCUGGAUUUGCAUUAGACUGAGUGGAAAGUCAGGAACCUGCAUCCCAAGAUUAAAAAUAGCACUGAACAGCGCGAACGCCACUAAUUGUGGGUUUGCAGGAGAAAGGCAGAAACACGCUGAAAAGUUGGCUCACAAUGGCAGUUGUUGCAUCCUAAUCUCCUGGUUCCUUUCUUGCCUUGCUAAUAAGAAGUAAGACUAAUUUAAUUUUCACAACAUCCCAAAUCUGGGGCUCUGUGAUUCAGAGACUUAAUAAGAUUCUCUUGCCGAGCCAAGAAAAGCUUAGUGGUUUUGAGCUUACUUUCUGCUGGGUUUCACUUUCGGGACAUUUGUGCAGUGGUUUGGGUUUUUUUUGUAAAAAAAAAAAAAAAAGAACUUGUAUUCCAUCAGGAUUACUGUUGUCUCUGUUUAAGUUAUUAUAUGUGUAAAUUGGUUGAGCUGGAGCUGGCUAAAAUCUUGAAUGAGAAAAGGCAAAUUUUGGCAAAACGAAAACAUUUUAUGAGUUGUUUUGAUUUGCCACACUUUUUUUUUCUUUUUUUUUUUUUGUCGUCUGGAGAGAAAAGAAACAAACCUAUUUUGUUUCAGCCUUCUCCAAAUAAAAGGCUUUGAGAUUUUCCUCUUUGAAGCAACUUUUCAUUUAGAAUGAUCUUCGGCGCUGACUUUUGUUAAAGGGCUGAAGAGUCAAAGUGGAACAUUUGUUUCAGUCGACCCCAAAUGAAUUUUUUUUUUGAGAGGGAGUUUUUUCAGGAUUGCCAGCGGACCGAAAAAUCAGUUAUUCACCCAGCUUUAUAUCCCAUAUACUGAUAGAAACUUCAGAGCCCCGCCGUGACUGUUUAUGUGGUGCAGCUGCCCCUAAGCCCUCCGUUUAUAUGUUGGGAAAUUAUUCUGCUUCUCAGGGUUGCCUGGGACAGUAAACCUUGAGUAAGCGCCUGGUUUUUCUCCCUUGGUUUAAUAAGGAGGCAAUUUUUUACGAAGUUAUGUUUUCUAACUCUUCUUUUGCAUGGCAGGUAUUACCUUUGCCGGCUGAGGUACAGUUGCAGGACCUGUUUUAUGCUAAGGGCAAUACUUGGCUGUGUGAGGAGCAGGCAUCGCAUUAGGAGAUGGGUUUAGAGCAGCAGAGUUGCGCUUGGCUCUGGGGAUAACUGUACUUCAAAAAGAUGAGUGCAAUAAUCAAGAAAAGUCCCUAAUUUCAGGGUUAACCACAGUCAAAACCCACAUUUAAAAAGCGCUCUUCUUAUGGUUACUCUGGGUGAUAAAUUAUGUAUUACAUGAAGCCAUUGGAUUGUUUUAACUCUUCGUCAGGGUACCUUUCCCUGUAUAGAGAGUUAUCUGCAGAUGGCACAGGGCAUUCUGGAACAACAGAGACAAGUUUGCCUGUUUUACUGAAACUGGUGGAAAAAAGUUUAGAUCAAUUGCUCUAGAACAGACACCAUGACCAGAAAUUGUUGGUCCUGGAUUGCAAGUCUGCUGGAGAGAAAGGAGUUGGGCCGAAGGGGUUUGUUCCUGCUGUUUAUCUUAAAUCUUAAUUUAAGCUUAAAUCUUGAUGCCUCUCACUUGGAGCAUUGGAGCAUUUAGAGCAGCACAAGAAAACAGGCUCUAUGUGCGAAUGUUCCUGAGGUUGCAGUUUUCCCUUUGUGCCACUGUCCCACUGAGCCCUUCCCAGCCAGCUGGGUGUGUUUUGGCACCCAGACAUGGUGCCAGAGCCGGUUUUGCCUUGGCAGAGGUGCUGGGCAGGCUGGAGUGACCAUGCCUGCUCUGAGCCAAGCUAGGAUUUCCUGGAGAGGACUAUUCUUUAUUUUUAAAUCAGAUUUUUUUUUUACCAUCACCUUCGGAGAGCACCGACCCUGCCUUGGGUCAAGGCAUGAAAUGAAGUUAGUUGGAGCCAGGUAGAUUUGCUGUCCCCCAGGAGCAGUGCAUGGACUAUGGGGAAGGUUGGUUUUUCUCCCAUCCCUUCUGAGGACAUUUCAGUUUGGCAAGUCCAGUGCCCUUGGAGCCCUUCUCCUUCCCCAGCCUCGUUCUCUUCACCCCAUGCACCUCUGCUCCCCACGGGGACCUGCCUGGAGGGAGCGGCUGCGUGGCGGCUGAGCCGGCAGGAAGGUCGUGGCACGGGACGUGGGAGAGGAGGCAGGAGUAAGAGUUUCUGGCAGGAGGGAGCAAGCUGGGACUUGCCAUCUUUCCAAGCUCAUCACCAGGGCCAACUUGAAGAGUUGUCCCUCCUGCCCAGCACGUUUCUCUCCCUUUUUCCCCCACUCCUUUGCCUGGGAUGACAGUCCUGGGUUGUCUUUGCUUUCGUGUGUGGGACUUCAAACUCGUUGAACCAAUUCAUAGUGGAUGAUUCACUGGACACGUUUUGGCCCUCAUUUUGUUCCUACAGUGUCUGUCAGCAGCUUGCAGUUCUUAGAGCUGUGCUAUAGCUGCCAUUCUGCAUCACUGCCAUCCCCAGAGCCCCCAACACACACCAGGGAUGUACAAAUCAUCAUCAUGCUCCUUCCUGCAAUCAGUUCUGGGUGUCCUGCUGAUCCCUGACCCGUUAAGUCAAGGCUUUUCAAUGGCCUAGUUUGAGUGGCAGAGGUGAUUAGAUGAUUUUAUUUAUUUUUUUGGUUGGAUUGGAGUUGGACUGGACAAAGGAAACCAUCCAGAAUUCAGUUUGUAGUAGGUAAUAAGCCAUGAGACUGGUGAGGCCACGCAGUUUUUGGAGUAACCUGUAGCAAUAGAGGUACACUAAGCAGUUCUCUGCUUAGAACUUCUGCUCUAUUUGAGGCUGUUGCCAAGUGUGUGUGUGUGGGGGGAGUGUCAUCUCAACGAGGGUGGCCUCACUGCCAGCAUCGCUUCUGCCAGAGCUGUCGCCUGCAUCUGCAGAGCAAACUGCAAGCUCAGCUCUUCCCCAGCUCCCCUGCCUUAUUCCUUCCCUGAAUCCUUUUCCUUUCCAAGGUGGGAGCAGCCUGGCUCCCAGAGCAGCACAAUCCAGUUCUCCCUCCCUGGCUGAGGCAGCUGUGAGUCACUGUGCUCACGAGGUUCGUCAGCGGGAGGAACUGGUCCGAGGAACGUGACGGUGAUGCCGCUGGAGCGCGGCCAGCUCGGGUCUGUGCCCGUGGUGUUCCCUGUGGCACAGCGUCCGACAGCUGGAGACAGAGCAGCUUCUGUAUGUGGAGACCACUCGCAUCCACAGUGAUUGCUCCAGAGAGUGGCUUUCCUGUCGCGCUGUUCCAGUUGGCUGCAAGGAAGGUGCCCGAUCGAUGCACUUAUAGACAACGCUGCUCAAGGCUGCUCCUUCAAGAGGGACGUUCCCCUUCCUUUGCCUGCAGGGCUGUGGGAUCCUGCUGGACUCCAGAGGGACCUGUGGUGCCCGAGGACUGGCUGGUUGGAUGCACAGAGCACCGUGAGUGGGUUGGAUUUGGGCAGGCAAACCCUCUGCCUGGCCCUACCUCCUGGCAACGAGGUGGUGUCAGCUCUGGCACAACUUCUGGGGCUGGAGGUACCAUCCUGCUGCCUACUCCAGUUGUCCAGCCCCAGGGAUUUCCGCUGGGCCUCCCAAGGGUGUUUAAAAUAAAAAAAAAAAAUACAAAAAAAAAAAAUCACCUUUUUCAACCUUUUCUCAGCCAGCAUGAUGGAGGUGAUUGCAUUUGCUCUUGUAGCGUGCCAAGGGAGGCCCCCUUCAGGAAGCUGAUGGGGGUAGGAGCCUGAUUAGGACUAAUUUUGAACUUAAAACUGUCCCUCCUCCAUACCUUUUUUGCAUAUUUCAAACAACCAGACCCAUAUUAGAAAAAGAGUGUAGGGAAAAAAUAAUCCUGUGAUCCAUGCAUAUCCUGACUGGAACUCAGUUCAUUCUUUCUGAAUCUGGCUCCCAUACCCUUUUUCAUACAGAUUUACAUUCCUACAAGAGGAUACAUUCCUACCAUACAUUCUGUACAUGUUACAAUCCAGAUGUUGUUAGCUUCACAAUAAAAUAAAUAUAUUUACAGAAGAAAAAAAAAAGAAUAAAUAAUUUAUGAAAAAAAUCACUUCAAAUCCAAAGCUCUUUUAUUCUGCUCCCAUCUUGUCACUUCAUUGCACGUUAAUGUCUAUCUCCAUCCCUGGUGUAGGUCUCAGAGAAAUUCCAUGCAUGGCUGCUGACAGGACCACGGCAAAGGCCAAACUAGAGCCAGCCAGUGACUGUGCAGGGAGAAAGUCACAGCCAAGCCCUUCCUGUCCUGGCCUGCACCAGCCUUCCCAACCUUUUGCUGAGUCUCAUAAGUCUCAAGUAUGCUUCUGUCCUAUGGGAUUCCUGUAAGGAUUCUGCCACAGGACAUGUGCUUCAGCACCAAGGAGCCACAGACAUCGUCCAAGUGGUGAAGUGGAUUCAGAGCUUUGUGGAUACAAAACCUUCAACUAACCCCAC
Long non-coding RNA from Pseudopipra pipra, 8261 nucleotides. RefSeq lists it as uncharacterized. The record is from RefSeq and is a predicted model, not a curated record. NCBI's taxonomy places the organism in Eukaryota, Metazoa, Chordata, Aves, Passeriformes, Pipridae. The transcript has 2 exons.